CUGGUGGUGGCAUGGUAUGCAACUAUACCCCUGUUGACAUAUAAUUUUGUAAAUCAAUAUUAAAUCAGUAAUAAACUUAAAAAAAAAAGAAAGAAAACACAUCCAUCCACCUGUCCAACUCACUCUAGAAGCCUGAGACUCAUAGCUCAGUCACAGUGGUUUACUUUUGAAAGAGCUUCUUAUGUAUUUAGGAGAGAGAGAGCAACACAGCUGGAGUACAUGAGAUGCCAGGGAUCAGACUCUUGAGGACAUCACGCUUGAGAAAGUCCAGAGUUUCAUCCCCUGCACCACUCCCAGUUAGAGCAGCUGACAGGCUCCUGUCUCUCGCUCAGUCUUGUGACCAGCUUUGGGGAAGAGGACGAUGACCAGCCCCACCUCAUAGACGAGGCCCAGAGAGGACAAGUAACUGGCCUGGGGUCCCACAGCUUGGGGAAUGGCAGAAUUGGGGUCAUCUUCAACCUUCAGGAGCUUGAAGGAAUCCUGUGAAGUAAGAUAAGUCAGAAGGAAAAGGAUGAAUAUGGGAUGAUCUCACUCAGACAGAAGUUGAAAAACAAGAAUAGAAGGGAAAACACUAAGCAGAACUUGGACUGGAGUUGGUGUAUUGCACCAAA
Long non-coding RNA from Erinaceus europaeus (western European hedgehog), 611 nucleotides. RefSeq lists it as uncharacterized. NCBI's taxonomy places the organism in Eukaryota, Metazoa, Chordata, Mammalia, Eulipotyphla, Erinaceidae. The transcript has 3 exons. The record is from RefSeq and is a predicted model, not a curated record.